UAUCAUGGCUCAGAACGAACGCUGGCGGCAUGCCUAACACAUGCAAGUCGAACGAGAAGGUACCUUCGGGUACUGGACAGUGGCGCACGGGUGAGUAACGCGUGGGAACCUGCCCUGAGGUACGGGAUAACGGCUGGAAACGGCCGCUAAUACCGUAUGUCCCCUGAGGGGGAAAGAUUUAUCGCCUUGGGAGGGGCCCGCGUCCGAUUAGCUUGUUGGUGAGGUAAUGGCUCACCAAGGCGACGAUCGGUAGCUGGUCUGAGAGGAUGAUCAGCCACACUGGGACUGAGACACGGCCCAGACUCCUACGGGAGGCAGCAGUGGGGAAUAUUGGACAAUGGGGGCAACCCUGAUCCAGCAAUGCCGCGUGUGUGAUGAAGGCCUUAGGGUUGUAAAGCACUUUCACUGGUGAAGAUGAUGACGGUAGCCAGAGAAGAAGCCCCGGCUAACUCCGUGCCAGCAGCCGCGGUAAUACGGAGGGGGCAAGCGUUGUUCGGAAUUACUGGGCGUAAAGGGCGUGUAGGCGGCGAUUUUAGUCAGGCGUGAAAGCCCGGGGCUCAACCUCGGAAUAGCGCUUGAUACUGGAUCGCUUGAGACCGGAAGAGGGUAGUGGAAUUCCCAGUGUAGAGGUGAAAUUCGUAGAUAUUGGGAAGAACACCAGUGGCGAAGGCGGCUACCUGGNCCGGANCUGACGCUGAGGCGCGAAAGCGUGGGGAGCAAACAGGAU
RNAcentral lists this ribosomal RNA (727 nucleotides) under Nisaea sp. MOLA 139. RNAcentral describes it as "bacterial SSU rRNA". It matches the Rfam family "Bacterial small subunit ribosomal RNA", at positions 15 to 778 of the family's 1533-position model. Lineage: Bacteria; Pseudomonadati; Pseudomonadota; Alphaproteobacteria; Rhodospirillales; Thalassobaculaceae. The record is from RNAcentral.